Molecule: ribosomal RNA, 465 nt
Filed under: uncultured bacterium
Lineage: Bacteria
Description: partial 16S ribosomal RNA
Rfam family: Bacterial small subunit ribosomal RNA
Source: RNAcentral
GACGAACGCUGGCGGCGUGCUUAACACAUGCAAGUCGAACGGAAAGGCCCCUUUGGGGGUACUCGUGUGGCGAAGGGGGGAGUAACAUGUGAGGAACCUGCCCUUGACUUCGGGAUUAAUUUCGGAAACUGGGGCCAAUUCCGGAAAGGGAUCCUUGCUGCAUGGUGGGGGUUGGAAAGAUUCGGCGGUUUUGGAUGGACCUGCGGCGUAUCGGCUUGUUGGUGGGGUAGUGGCUUACCAAGGCGUUGGCGCGUAGCUGGCCUGUGAGGGCGACCGGCCACACUGAGUCCUAGAGACGGCAGAGGCGCCGACGGGUGGCAGCAGGGGGAAAUAUUGAACAAGGGGCGGAGGCCGGAUGCAGCAACGCCGCGGGCGGGAUGACGGUCUUCGUGUUGUAAACCGCUUGCAGCAGGAGCCAAGCUUGUGUUGACGGUACCUGCAGAAGAAGCACCGGCUAACUACGUG